GGGCCCGCACAAGCGGUGGAGCAUGUGGUUUAAUUCGAUGCAACGCGAAGAACCUUACCUACUCUUGACAUCCAGAGAAUUAGCUAGAGAUAGCUUAGUGCCUUCGGGAACUCUGAGACAGGUGCUGCAUGGCUGUCGUCAGCUCGUGUUGUGAAAUGUUGGGUUAAGUCCCGCAACGAGCGCAACCCUUAUCCUUGUUUGCCAGCACGUAAUGGUGGGAACUCCAGGGAGACUGCCGGUGAUAAACCGGAGGAAGGUGGGGACGACGUCAAGUCAUCAUGGCCCUUACGAGUAGGGCUACACACGUGCUACAAUGGCGCAUACAGAGGGCUGCAAACUCGCGAGAGUAAGCGAAUCCCAGAAAGUGCGUCGUAGUCCGGAUUGGAGUCUGCAACUCGACUCCAUGAAGUCGGAAUCGCUAGUAA
RNAcentral lists this ribosomal RNA (425 nucleotides) under uncultured bacterium. Its description in RNAcentral is "bacterial SSU rRNA". It matches the Rfam family "Bacterial small subunit ribosomal RNA", at positions 917 to 1341 of the family's 1533-position model. The record is from RNAcentral.